AUACCUAAAACGUUGCUUCGGCGGGAACAGACGGCCCUGUAACAACGGGCCGCCCCCGCCAGAGGACCCCUAACUCUGUUUUUAUAAUGUUUUUCUGAGUAAACAAGCAAAUAAAUUAAAACUUUCAACAACGGAUCUCUUGGCUCUGGCAUCGAUGAAGAACGCAGCGAAAUGCGAUAAGUAAUGUGAAUUGCAGAAUUCAGUGAAUCAUCGAAUCUUUGAACGCACAUUGCGCCCGCCAGUAUUCUGGCGGGCAUGCCUGUUCGAGCGUCAUUACAACCCUCAGGCCCCCGGGCCUGGCGUUGGGGAUCGGCGGAAGCCCCCUGUGGGCACACGCCGUCCCUCAAAUACAGUGGCGGUCCCGCCGCAGCUUCCAUUGCGUAGUAGCUAACACCUCGCAACUGGAGAGCGGCGCGGCCAUGCCGUAAAACACCCAACUUCUGAAUGUUGACCUCGAAUCAGGUAGGAAUACCCGCUGAACUUAAGCAUAUC
Molecule: unclassified non-coding RNA, 492 nt
Filed under: Fusarium solani
Lineage: Eukaryota; Fungi; Ascomycota; Sordariomycetes; Hypocreales; Nectriaceae
Description: sequence contains ITS1, 5.8S rRNA gene, ITS2
Rfam family: 5.8S ribosomal RNA (bases 120-273)
Source: RNAcentral